This 423-nucleotide ribosomal RNA is filed under the name uncultured bacterium. RNAcentral describes it as "bacterial SSU rRNA". It matches the Rfam family "Bacterial small subunit ribosomal RNA", at positions 355 to 776 of the family's 1533-position model. The record is from RNAcentral.
UGAGGAAUAUUGCACAAUGCCCGAAAGGGUGAUGCAGCGACGCCGCGUGAAGGAUGAAGGCCCUCUGGGUCGUAAACUUCUUUUGCAGAAGAAUAAUAGGUUGCUACAGGCAGCCCUGAAUGUAUUCUGUGAAUAAGCAUCGGCUAACUACGUGCCAGCAGCCGCGGUAAUACGUAGGAUGCGAGCGUUGUCCGGAAUCACUGGGUGUAAAGGGAGCGCAGGCGGGUCGGUAAGUCAAUGGUGAAAUUCUCAGGCUCAACUUGGGAACUGCCACUGAUACUGCUGAUCUUGGGUCUAGAAGAGGUUGAUGGAAUUCCUGGUGUAGCGGUGAAAUGCGUAGAUAUCAGGAAGAACACCGAUGGCGAAGGCAGUCAACUGGUCUAGUACCGACGCUCAUGCUCGAAAGCGUGGGGAUCAAACAGG